CCUACGGGUGGCAGCAGUGGGGAAUAUUGCACAAUGGGGGGAACCCUGAUGCAGCGACGCCGCGUGAGCGAGGAAGUAUUUCGGUAUGUAAAGCUCUAUCAGCAGGGACGAAAAAAGACGGUACCUGACUAAGAAGCGCCGGCUAACUACGUGCCCGCAGCCGCGGUAAUACGUAGGGGGCCAGAGUUAUCCGGAUUUACUGGGGGUAAAGGGAGCGUAGACGGGAAGGCAAGCCAGAGGUGAAAGUGCAGGGCUUAACCCUGGAAUUGCUUUUGGAACUGUGGUGCUAGAGUGCAGGAGAGGUAAGUGGAAUUCCUGGUGUAGCGGUGAAAUGCGUAGAUAUUAGGAGGAACACCAGUGGCGAAGGCGGCUUACUGGACUGUAACUGACGUUGAGGCUCGAAAGCGUGGGGAGCGAACAGGAUUAGAUACCCUUGUAGUC
RNAcentral lists this ribosomal RNA (441 nucleotides) under uncultured bacterium. Its description in RNAcentral is "partial 16S ribosomal RNA". It matches the Rfam family "Bacterial small subunit ribosomal RNA", at positions 338 to 795 of the family's 1533-position model. The record is from RNAcentral.